GGCCGGUACUUUUGUGGAAGGAGCAGUAUUCGCUUGGGUUCUUCUUAGCCAGGUGUUCUAGGAGUGGUUUUGGGCGAGGUGUCAGAGGAAAGGUUUAUCUUUUACACUGUGGAGGAUGUUAUUAAUGGCAGUGUUCAAGGCGAUGUACUGCUUAAGCUUUGAUAUGACUUGUUUGUCUGGACGCCCUCCUCUCAUAACUUGUCAUAGAGAAGAUGGGGGAGUGUCUUUGUCUACCCUUCUUCUAUCUAUUUUUCUAGAGUAAUCUGGUUCAACAGUUGUUCUUCGACUCUUGUCAUCGAGUCUGUCAUAUUGUCUGCGAUAACGAAGCAUUCAGCUAAAGUAGCAUAGUCGUACUUCUUUUAGGAGAUAAGCAAAUGGACAUAGAUGCCUCGUUUGAAUGCUAUAGUCGUGAGCUUAUCAUCUAGUUUUUGUACCUCAACCAAUUCUGUACGGAAGUGCUUCAAAUAGGCUCAAAGACUUUCAUCUCUGGUUUGAGGGAGUAACCUGAACAUAGCUUCGUGGUGCUUCCGGACAUAACGGUAUACAAAAUUUGUAUUAGUAAAUAAGUUGACCAGAGUUUCAAAGCAGUCAAUAGACCUGGCCGGUAAUUUUGAAUACCACCUCAUAGCAGGUCCCUCCAAGGUGGACGAGAACAUCUUGCACAUCAAGGCAUCAUUGUUAUUGUAUCGGGG
Molecule: long non-coding RNA, 692 nt
Filed under: Malus domestica (apple)
Lineage: Eukaryota; Viridiplantae; Streptophyta; Magnoliopsida; Rosales; Rosaceae
Description: long non-coding RNA (MDOM_LNC002706)
Source: RNAcentral